RNAcentral lists this ribosomal RNA (1240 nucleotides) under metagenome. RNAcentral describes it as "bacterial LSU rRNA". It matches the Rfam family "Bacterial large subunit ribosomal RNA", at positions 1564 to 2816 of the family's 2925-position model. The record is from RNAcentral.
UGAAUACGAGACGCUACGGCGUUGAAGCAGUCUAUGUCAUACUUCCAAGAAAAGCUCGCAAUGUCAUAAACAAAUAAUGCCUGUACCAUAACCGACACAGGUGGGUAGGUAGAGUAUACUAAGGGGCGCGAGAUAACUCUCUCUAAGGAACUCGGCAAAAUGACUCCGUAACUUCGGGAGAAGGAGUGCCUUAUUUAUAAGGUUGCAAUAACAAGAUCAAGCAACUGUUUAUCAAAAACACAGGUCUCCGCUAAGUCGUAAGACGAUGUAUGGGGGCUGACGCCUGCCCAGUGCCAGAAGGUUAAAGAAGUUGGUUAGCAUUCGCGAAGCUGAUAACUGAAGCCCUGGUGAACGGCGGCCGUAACAAUAACGGUCCUAAGGUAGCGAAAUUCCUUGUCGGGUAAGUUCCGACCCGCACGAAAGGCGUAAUGAUUUGGAUACUGUCUCGGAGAGGGGCUCGGUGAAAUAGACUUGUCUGUGAAGAUGCGGACUACCUGCACCUGGACAGAAAGACCCUAUGAAGCUUUACUGUAACUUGAAAUUGAAAUUGGACUUUAUUUGCGCAGUAUAGGUGGGAGGCGUUGAGAGUAUUCUUGCGGGAAUAUUGGAGCCAUCAGUGAGAUACCACUCUUGUAAUGUUAGAUUUCUAACUUUGUAUCAUUAUCUGGUCAAAGAACAGUUUCAGGCGGGCGGUUUGACUGGGGCGGUCGCCUCCCAAACGGUAACGGAGGCGUACAAAGGUUUCCUCUGAACGGGUAGAAAUCGUAUCUAGAGUGUAAGGGUAUAAGGAAGCUUGACUUGAGACCUACAAGUCGAGCAGGGACGAAAGUCGGUCUUAGUGAUCUGACGGUGCUGAGUGGAAAGGCCGUCACUCAACGGAUAAAAGUUACUCUAGGAUAACAGGCUGAUCUCCCCCAAGAGUUCACAUCGACGGGGAGGUUUGGCACCUCGAUGUCGGCUCAUCGCAUCCUGGGGCGGUAGUACGUCCCAAGGGUUGGGCUGUUCGCCCAUGAAAGCGGUACGCGAGCUGGGUUCAGAACGUCGUGAGACAGUUCGGUCCAUAUCCGGUGUAGGCGUUAGAAUAUUGAGAGGAGCCUUCUUUAGUACGAGAGGACCGAGAAGGACAUACCUCUGGUGUACCAGUUAUCGUGCCAACGGUAAACGCUGGGUAGCUAUGUAUGGAGAGGAUAACCGCUGAAAGCAUCUAAGUGGGAAGCCCACCUCAAGAUAAGUAUUCUCA